This 481-nucleotide ribosomal RNA is filed under the name uncultured bacterium. Its description in RNAcentral is "partial 16S ribosomal RNA". It matches the Rfam family "Bacterial small subunit ribosomal RNA", at positions 28 to 507 of the family's 1533-position model. The record is from RNAcentral.
GACGAACGUUGGCGGCGUGCUUAAUACAUGCAAGUCAACUGAAGCAGUGGUAGCAAUAUCGCUGUGGAGGUGGCGCACGGGUGAGUAACACGUAGGUAAUCUGCCUUCAGGUCUGGCAUAACUCCGGGAAACCGGGGCUAAUAGCAGAUGAUGCAGCGGCUCGACAUCGAGACAGUUGUUAAAGCUAUGGCGCCUGAAGAUGAGCCUGCGUCUGAUUAGCUAGUUGGCGGGGUAACGGCCCACCAAGGCAACGAUCAGUAGCUGGUCUGAGAGGAUGAUCAGCCACACUGGAACUGAGACACGGCCCAGACUCCUACGGGAGGCAGCAGUAAGGAAUAUUGCUCAAUGGGAGAAAUCCUGAAGCAGCAACGCCGCGUGAGGGACGAAGGGCUUUGGCUUGUAAACCUCUGUAGUGAGAGAAAAAAAUCCCAAUCUUUGGGACAUGAUGGUAUCUCAAAAGUAAGCCCCGGCUAACUACGUG